UUCAAUGAACAGCGAUCCAGUAAAGAAUGACCACAGCAGAAGAGAUUAUAAAUUGCUGUAGAAUUAUUUUCUCCACCAGUUUCCAAACUGUUAGGAUGUUAAGAGACAAGCUGCACAGCCCUUUGACAGUUGUGAGUUCCAAAGAAAUUUCCUCCUGGAUUUAUGGAAUCUGUCUCUACCCUUCACUACGUUCAUAUGUAUAUAAGACUGUACUGCCGCGCCAAAUCAAACUUUCAACAGUCAAUUGACCUUCUCCAGUUCAAGACAAGAACCGAGCUCAAGAGAAAUGACUCCAUUCUGAUCUCAGAGUAUGAUUAUUCCCUCGGGACAGGAUGUGCCUCAUGGGAAGUUCAUGGUCAAAGCCAAUCCAGCCACAAGCGCAGAACCACAUCCAACAGUAAAGAUACUAGAAAUGGAAUUGCUAUUGUCAAAUCAUGCACCACCUUAAGGAAGUCUUGA
Molecule: long non-coding RNA, 459 nt
Filed under: Rattus norvegicus (Norway rat)
Lineage: Eukaryota; Metazoa; Chordata; Mammalia; Rodentia; Muridae
Description: long non-coding RNA NONRATT031934
Source: RNAcentral